CGAUCUAUGGAUAAAUUGGUAAAGGCAUCGUCGAUGACAGGCGUAGGUGCGGGUUCGAGUCCCGCUAGAACGG
RNAcentral lists this transfer RNA (73 nucleotides) under Operophtera brumata (winter moth). It matches the Rfam family "tRNA". From Rfam's summary of the family: Transfer RNA (tRNA) molecules are approximately 80 nucleotides in length. Their secondary structure includes four short double-helical elements and three loops (D, anti-codon, and T loops). The record is from Rfam by way of RNAcentral. Lineage: Eukaryota; Metazoa; Arthropoda; Insecta; Lepidoptera; Geometridae.